GUGUAAGAAAUCACAUUAUUUAGUGCAGUUGUUUUCUGAUCACUUUAAUAAAGUAAUGUACACUUUGAGAAUUAUUUUUUUCUAGACAAAGUAAGUUAACUCUAUUUGUAUCCAAUACACUAGUGUCCAGAAAACAGAAGUAGAUUUCCAGUAGCUUCAAAUCUACUGCGAAAUGAAUCUCUGUGGAGUCCAAAAUCUUACAGAACGCGUUCUUAAUGUCCGAAGUCUUAAAUGCAAUGGCUGCUGCUAAUGUGCUAUGAGAAAAAAACAGCAACCUGUUUCAGAUACUAAAUUUUACCAAAUUAUGUAGAACUUAAAGGUAUUUCAAAUUGUCAAAUUUCACUGUCUAUGAGAGGAAUGUCUGAAUAGUUUCCUCUUGAUAUAGUUGCCACAGGGAUACCCUCCUAGCUUAUUCCUAAAUCCUUCAUCAGCUUAGGGCCCUUACAUUGUAUCUUUUAGGGGGAAAAG
Molecule: long non-coding RNA, 468 nt
Organism: Myotis davidii
Lineage: Eukaryota; Metazoa; Chordata; Mammalia; Chiroptera; Vespertilionidae
Exons: 2
Source: RefSeq, a predicted model, not a curated record